UUGCUGGGUUAUCCACGAGUCACUAUAACUCAGCUAUUGUUGGUAAUUGCAAUAGGAAUGAUUUCAAGCUCUAUUUUUCUUGGACUAAGUAAUAAUUGCACUGGAAUCCAGAAUAGGGCCUCAGUACUCUUCACAUUGACAGUCUUUCCGUGUUUCAGCAGUGUGUCAGCUGGGGAGAUCUUUGUGCUUGAGGAGA
Octodon degus (degu) is the source of this 196-nucleotide long non-coding RNA. RefSeq lists it as uncharacterized. The transcript is spliced from 3 exons. The record is from RefSeq and is a predicted model, not a curated record. NCBI's taxonomy places the organism in Eukaryota, Metazoa, Chordata, Mammalia, Rodentia, Octodontidae.